Molecule: non-coding RNA, 109 nt
Organism: Acanthosepion pharaonis
Lineage: Eukaryota; Metazoa; Mollusca; Cephalopoda; Sepiida; Sepiidae
Source: the annotation of a GenBank genome assembly
UUACGGCCAUAUCACGAUGAGACACCGUUUCUCGUAUGAUCACCAUAGUUAAGCAACGUCGAGCUUGGUCAGUACCUAGAUGUGUGACUGCUUGGGAAUAUCAGGUGCC